UACGGGAGGCAGCAGUAAGGAAUAUUGGUCAAUGGGCGCAAGCCUGAACCAGCCAUGCCGCGUGCAGGAAGACGGCCCUACGGGUUGUAAACUGCUUUUGUACCGGAAUAAACCUUUGUUCGUGAACGAAGCUGAAUGUACGGUAAGAAUAAGGAUCGGCUAACUCCGUGCCAGCAGCCGCGGUAA
RNAcentral lists this ribosomal RNA (186 nucleotides) under uncultured bacterium. RNAcentral's name for it is "partial 16S ribosomal RNA". It matches the Rfam family "Bacterial small subunit ribosomal RNA", at positions 340 to 523 of the family's 1533-position model. The record is from RNAcentral.